UACAGAGGGUGCGAGCGUUAAUCGGAUUUACUGAGCGUAAAGCGUGCGUAGGCGGCUUUUUAAGUCGGAUGUGACAUCCCCGGGCUCAACCUGGGAACUGCAUCCGAAACUGGCAGGCUAGAGUCUUGUAGAUGGGGGUAGAAUUACAGGUGUAGCGGUGAAAUGCGUAGAGAUCUGGAGGAAUACCGGUGGCGAAGGCGGCCCCCCGGACAAAGACUGACGUUCAGGUGCGAAAGCGUGGGGAGCGAAAGG
RNAcentral lists this unclassified non-coding RNA (252 nucleotides) under uncultured Enterobacteriaceae bacterium. RNAcentral describes it as "contains 16S-23S intergenic spacer region". It matches the Rfam family "Bacterial small subunit ribosomal RNA", at positions 524 to 775 of the family's 1533-position model. The record is from RNAcentral. Lineage: Bacteria; Pseudomonadati; Pseudomonadota; Gammaproteobacteria; Enterobacterales; Enterobacteriaceae.